Molecule: ribosomal RNA, 250 nt
Filed under: uncultured bacterium
Lineage: Bacteria
Description: partial 16S ribosomal RNA
Rfam family: Bacterial small subunit ribosomal RNA
Source: RNAcentral
UACGUAGGAAGCAAGCGUUAUCCGGAUUUAUUGGGCGUAAAGCGGGCGUAGGUGGCCCUUCAAGUCUGAUGUGAAAUCUCCCGGCUUAACUGGGAGGGUGCAUCGGAAACUGCUGGGCUGGAGUGCAGCAGAGGAAAGCGGAAUUCCCGGUGUAGUGGUGAAAUGCGUAGAUAUCGGGAGGAACACUAGUGGCGAAGGCGGCUUUCUGGGCUGUAACUGACACUGAGGCCCGAAGGCGUGGGUAGCAAAC